Molecule: ribosomal RNA, 253 nt
Filed under: uncultured bacterium
Lineage: Bacteria
Description: partial 16S ribosomal RNA
Rfam family: Bacterial small subunit ribosomal RNA
Source: RNAcentral
UACGUAGGGUGCAAGCGUUAUCCGGAAUUAUUGGGCGUAAAGAGCUCGUAGGCGGUUUGUCGCGUCUGCUGUGAAGACUGGGGGCUCAACCCCCAGCCUGCAGUGGGUACGGGCAGACUAGAGUGCGGUAGGGGAGAUUGGAAUUCCUGGUGUAGCGGUGGAAUGCGCAGAUAUCAGGAGGAACACCAAUGGCGAAGGCAGAUCUCUGGGCCGUAACUGACGCUGAGGAGCGAAAGCAUGGGGAGCGAACAGG